This 301-nucleotide ribosomal RNA is filed under the name uncultured bacterium. RNAcentral's name for it is "partial 16S ribosomal RNA". It matches the Rfam family "Bacterial small subunit ribosomal RNA", at positions 509 to 807 of the family's 1533-position model. The record is from RNAcentral.
CAGUAGCCGCGGUAAUACAGAGGGUGCAAGCGUUAAUCGGAAUUACUGGGCGUAAAGCGCGCGUAGGCGGUUUGGCAAGUUUGGUGUGAAAUCUUCGGGCUCAACUCGAAGUCUGCAUCGAAAACUGCCGGGCUUGAGUAUGGGAGAGGUGAGUGGAAUUUCCGGUGUAGCGGUGAAAUGCGUAGAUAUCGGAAGGAACACCUGUGGCGAAGGCGACUACCUGGACUGAUACUGACACUGAGGUGCGAAAGCGUGGGGAGCAAACAGGAUUAGAUACCCCUGUAGUCCCUGUCUCUUAUAC